This 764-nucleotide ribosomal RNA is filed under the name uncultured Streptococcus sp. RNAcentral describes it as "bacterial SSU rRNA". It matches the Rfam family "Bacterial small subunit ribosomal RNA", at positions 28 to 776 of the family's 1533-position model. Lineage: Bacteria; Bacillati; Bacillota; Bacilli; Lactobacillales; Streptococcaceae. The record is from RNAcentral.
GACGAACGCUGGCGGCGUGCCUAAUACAUGCAAGUAGAACGCUGAAGGAGGAGCUUGCUUCUCUGGAUGAGUUGCGAACGGGUGAGUAACGCGUAGGUAACCUGCCUGGUAGCGGGGGAUAACUAUUGGAAACGAUAGCUAAUACCGCAUAAGAGUAGAUGUUGCAUGACAUUUGCUUAAAAGGUGCAAUUGCAUCACUACCAGAUGGACCUGCGUUGUAUUAGCUAGUUGGUGGGGUAACGGCUCACCAAGGCGACGAUACAUAGCCGACCUGAGAGGGUGAUCGGCCACACUGGGACUGAGACACGGCCCAGACUCCUACGGGAGGCAGCAGUAGGGAAUCUUCGGCAAUGGACGGAAGUCUGACCGAGCAACGCCGCGUGAGUGAAGAAGGUUUUCGGAUCGUAAAGCUCUGUUGUAAGAGAAGAACGAGUGUGAGAGUGGAAAGUUCACACUGUGACGGUAUCUUACCAGAAAGGGACGGCUAACUACGUGCCAGCAGCCGCGGUAAUACGUAGGUGGCAAGCGUUAUCCGGAUUUAUUGGGCGUAAAGAGAGUGCAGGCGGUUUUCUAAGUCUGAUGUGAAAGCCUUCGGCUUAACCGGAGAAGUGCAUCGGAAACUGGAUAACUUGAGUGCAGAAGAGGGUAGUGGAACUCCAUGUGUAGCGGUGGAAUGCGUAGAUAUAUGGAAGAACACCAGUGGCGAAGGCGGCUACCUGGUCUGCAACUGACGCUGAGACUCGAAAGCAUGGGUAGCGAACAGG